RNAcentral lists this ribosomal RNA (543 nucleotides) under uncultured bacterium. Its description in RNAcentral is "bacterial SSU rRNA". It matches the Rfam family "Bacterial small subunit ribosomal RNA", at positions 777 to 1319 of the family's 1533-position model. The record is from RNAcentral.
AAUAGAUACCCGGUAGUCCACGCCGUAAACGAUGAGUGCUAAGUGUUGGGGGGUUUCCGCCCCUCAGUGCUGCAGCUAACGCAUUAAGCACUCCGCCUGGGGAGUACGGUCGCAAGACUGAAACUCAAAGGAAUUGACGGGGGCCCGCACAAGCGGUGGAGCAUGUGGUUUAAUUCGAAGCAACGCGAAGAACCUUACCAGGUCUUGACAUCCCGGUGACCACUAUGGAGACAUAGUUUCCCCUUCGAGGGCAACGGUGACAGGUGGUGCAUGGUUGUCGUCAGCUCGUGUCGUGAGAUGUUGGGUUAAGUCCCGCAACGAGCGCAACCCUUAUUCUUAGUUGCCAUCAUUCAGUUGGGCACUCUAAGGAGACUGCCGGUGAUAAACCGGAGGAAGGUGGGGAUGACGUCAAAUCAUCAUGCCCCUUAUGACCUGGGCUACACACGUGCUACAAUGGACGGUACAAACGGUUGCCAACCCGCGAGGGGGAGCUAAUCCGAUAAAACCGUUCUCAGUUCGGAUUGUAGGCUGCAACUCGCCUAC